UGAACAUAUCAGACGACACAGUGAUUCUUCAAACAGUUCUUGUUUAUUCACAGGCCAGAACAGAACUGAACAGCAAACAGGUCAGCCGGCCUGCUUUUAUAGGCAGCCGGCUGUCAACAUUGUACAGUGGUGCCCCGCAAGACGAACGCCUCGCAAGACGAAAAACUCGCAAGACGAAAGGUUUUUUCGUUUUCGAGUUGCUUCGCAAGACGAAUGUCCCUAUGGGCUUGCUUCGCAAGACGAAAACGUCUUGCAAGUUUGUUUCCUUUUUUCGUAAAACCGUUAAAACCCAGGGUGCAUUGCUGGAAGAGGUGCAGUUGCGACUUGACCUUGAGGAGCAACACAUUGCACGCGGUGUGGUGGCCUUUCUGAGCUUUUUAAAGAGUUUGCUGGAUUUUUGAAGCUUUUCCAAAACUUCUUCUGCAGCUGUUUGGUAAGUUAAACUUUUGAAACUUUUUUUGGGCUUUUUGGAUUUUGGGUUGGGGUGUUUAGAAUUCAAGGACUUGGUGUUGGGGAGGGGUUUGCAAGAAUCUGGGAGCUUGUGUGGUUUUUUUCUGCAUUUUAUGAUUUUCUGUGACCAUUGGGCCAUGUUUUUUUUUUUUUUUUUAAAUCUGGCUUUGAAUUUUUGAAUUUCUGUGUGCUGGGUGGAUGGGGGAACAGCUGGGGAGGGGUUUGCAAGAAUCUGGGAGCUUGUGUGUCUUUUUUCUGCAUUUUUAUGAUUUUCUGUGACCAUUGGGCCAUGUUUAUUUUUUUAAAAAAAACAUCUGGGUUUUAAAUUUCUGUGUGCUGGGUGGCUGGGGGAAACAGCUGGGGAGGGGUUUGCAAGAAUCUGGGAGCUUGUGUGCUUUUUUUUGAAUUUUUAUGGUUUUCUGUGACCAUUGGGCCAUGUUGGUUUUUUUUGAAAAAAAAUUCUGGGUUUUGAAUUUCUGUGUGCUGGGUGGCUGGGGGAACAGUUGAGGAGGGGUUUGCAAGAGUUGGGGAGGGGUUUGCAACAGUUGGGGAGGGGCUGGGGGAACAGUUGAGGUUUUUGAAGACUUUGGUGAUUUUUAAAGCUUUCCCAAAACUUCUUUUGCAGCCAUUUGAGGAUUUUGAAGACUUUGGUGAUUUGCAGCCAUUUCGUAAGUUAAACUUUUAAAAAAAAUUUCGGGGUUUUUGGAUUUUGGGUUGGGUGUUUGGAAUUCAAGGACUUGGUUCUGGGUUUGAAUUGCUGUUUUUUUUUUUUCUUUUUCUGAGUUUACAAAGGUAACAGCUGUGCUGCCAUGGGACCCAAGAAGACUGCUGCUGCUGCGGAGCCCGGCGAGAGGAAGAAGGAGAAGGUGACGCUGGAGAUGAAGAAGGAGAUCAUCCGGAAGCACGAAGGUGGAAUGCGUGUGACGGACCUCGCCAAGAAGUACGGCAGGAACCCAUCGACCAUCGGGACCAUCCUGAAGAUGAGGGAGAAGAUCCUUGCGACUGAUGCAGCCAAGGGAGUCACCAGGAUCGUGAAGAACCGCCCAGCUGUUCUGGAGGAGGUCGAGAAGUUGCUGCUCAUCUGGUUAGAAGAGAAGCAGCGUGCAGGGGACACAGUGACUGAGGCC
This 1577-nucleotide long non-coding RNA is filed under the name Podarcis lilfordi (Lilford's wall lizard). Lineage: Eukaryota; Metazoa; Chordata; Lepidosauria; Squamata; Lacertidae. The record is from RNAcentral.